This 456-nucleotide ribosomal RNA is filed under the name uncultured bacterium. Its description in RNAcentral is "bacterial SSU rRNA". It matches the Rfam family "Bacterial small subunit ribosomal RNA", at positions 28 to 526 of the family's 1533-position model. The record is from RNAcentral.
GAUGAACGCUGGCGGUGUGCUUAAGACAUGCAAGUCGAACGAAGCCUUCGGGCUUAGUGGCGGACGGGUGAGUAACACGUUAGUACCUGCCCUAAAGUGGGGAAUAACUCGGCGAAAGUCGAGCUAAUACCGCAUGUGACCGUUUACGGUUAAAGCCUUCGGGCGCUUUAGGAGGGGCUUGCGCUAGAUUAGCUUGUUGGUAGGGUAAUGGCCUACCAAGGCGACGAUCUAUAGCUGGUUCGAGAGGAUGACCAGCCACACGUGGACUGAGAUACGGCCACGACUCCUACGGGAGGCAGCAGUCAGGAAUAUUCCACAAUGGGCGAAAGCCUGAUGGAGCAACACCGCGUGCAGGAUGACGGCCUUCGGGUUGUAAACUGCUUUUAUAUGGGAAGAUUAUGACGGUACCAUAUGAAUAAGGACCGGCUAACUACGUGCCAGCCGCCGCCGUAACAC